Molecule: ribosomal RNA, 422 nt
Filed under: uncultured bacterium
Lineage: Bacteria
Description: bacterial SSU rRNA
Rfam family: Bacterial small subunit ribosomal RNA
Source: RNAcentral
UGAGGAAUAUUGGUCAAUGGACGCAAGUCUGAACCAGCCAAGUCGCGUGAAGGAUGACUGCCCUACGGGUUGUAAACUUCUUUUGUAUGGGAGUAAAACGGGUUACGUGUAGCCUUUUGCAAGUACCAUACGAAUAAGCAUCGGCUAACUCCGUGCCAGCAGCCGCGGUAAUACGGAGGAUGCGAGCGUUAUCCGGAUUUAUUGGGUUUAAAGGGUGCGUAGGCGGUCUAUUAAGUCAGCGGUGAAAGUUUGAGGCUCAACCUUAAAAUUGCCGUUGAAACUGGUUGACUUGAGUAUAUUUGAAGUAGGCGGAAUUCGUGGUGUAGCGGUGAAAUGCAUAGAUAUCACGAAGAACUCCAAUUGCGCAGGCAGCUUACUAAACUAUAACUGACGCUGAGGCACGAAAGCGUGGGUAUCAAACA